Potamilus streckersoni is the source of this 77-nucleotide non-coding RNA. The record is from the annotation of a GenBank genome assembly. NCBI's taxonomy places the organism in Eukaryota, Metazoa, Mollusca, Bivalvia, Unionida, Unionidae.
GAUUACAUCAAUGGCCUAGUGGUUAAAGUGACCACCUCAUAUGUGGGAGGUCGUGGGUUCAAACCCCAGUGGAUUCU